GACGAACGCUGGCGGCGUGCCUAAUACAUGCAAGUAGAACGCUGAAGAGAGGAGCUUGCUCUUCUUGGAUGAGUUGCGAACGGGUGAGUAACGCGUAGGUAACCUGCCUUGUAGCGGGGGAUAACUAUUGGAAACGAUAGCUAAUACCGCAUAACAAUAGGUGACACAUGUCAUUUAUUUGAAAGGGGCAAUUGCUCCACUACAAGAUGGACCUGCGUUGUAUUAGCUAGUAGGUGAGGUAACGGCUCACCUAGGCGACGAUACAUAGCCGACCUGAGAGGGUGAUCGGCCACACUGGGACUGGGACACGGCCCAGACUCCUACGGGAGGCAGCAGUAGGGAAUCUUCGGCAAUGGGGGCAACCCUGACCGAGCAACGCCGCGUGAGUGAAGAAGGUUUUCGGAUCGUAAAGCUCUGUUGUAAGUCAAGAACGAGUGUGAGAGUGGAAAGUUCACACUGCGACGGUAGCUUACCAGAAAGGGACGGCUAACUACGUGCCAGCAGCCGCGGUAAUACGUAGGUCCCGAGCGUUGUCCGGAUUUAUUGGGCGUAAAGCGAGCGCAGGCGGUUUGAUAAGUCUGAAGUUAAAGGCUGUGGCUCAACCAUAGUUCGCUUUGGAAACUGUCAAACUUGAGUGCAGAAGGGGAGAGUGGAAUUCCAUGUGUAGCGGUGAAAUGCGUAGAUAUAUGGAGGAACACCGGUGGCGAAAGCGGCUCUCUGGUCUGU
Molecule: ribosomal RNA, 726 nt
Filed under: uncultured Bacilli bacterium
Lineage: Bacteria; Bacillati; Bacillota; Bacilli
Description: bacterial SSU rRNA
Rfam family: Bacterial small subunit ribosomal RNA
Source: RNAcentral